AGACGGGAUAAGACAACAGGGAUUGCCCCAGUAACGGCGAGUGAAGCGGCAACAGCUCAAAUUUGAAAUCUGGCUCCUAGAGUCCGAGUUGUAAUUUGUAGAGGAUGCUUUUGAUGCGGUGCCUUCCGAGUUCCCUGGAACGGGACGCCAUAGAGGGUGAGAGCCCCGUCUGGUCGGAUGCCAAAUCUCUGUAAAGCUCCUUCGACGAGUCGAGUAGUUUGGGAAUGCUGCUCUAAAUGGGAGGUAUAUGUCUUCUAAAGCUAAAUAUUGGCCAGAGACCGAUAGCGCACAAGUAGAGUGAUCGAAAGAUGAAAAGCACUUUGAAAAGAGGGUUAAAUAGUACGUGAAAUUGUUGAAAGGGAAGCGCCUAUGACCAGACUUGGGCCCGGUGAAUCAUCCAGCGUUCUCGCUGGUGCACUUUGCCGGGCACAGGCCAGCAUCAGUUUGUCUUGGGGGAAAAAGGCUUUGGGAACGUGGCUCCCUCGGGAGUGUUAUAGACCAUUGCAUAAUACCCUGGGACGGACUGAGGUUCGCGCAUCUGCAAGGAUGCUGGCGUAAUGGUCAUCAGCGACCCGUCUUGAAACACGGACCAAGGAGUCGUCUUCGUAUGCGAGUGUUCGGGUGUAAAACCCCUACGCGUAAUGAAAGUGAACGCAGGUGAGAGCUUCGGCGCAUCAUCGACCGAUCCUGAUGUUCUCGGAUGGAUUUGAGUAAGAGCAUACGGGGCCGGACCCGAAAGAAGGUGAACUAUUCCUGUAUAGGGUGAAGCCAGAGGAAACUCUGGUGGAGGCUCGCAGCGGUUCUGACGUGCGAAUCGAUCGUCAAAUAUGGGAAUGGGGGCGAAAGACUAAUCGAACCUUCUAGUAGCUGGUUUCCGCCGAAGUCUCCCUCCCAAGAAAGGA
RNAcentral lists this ribosomal RNA (902 nucleotides) under Simplicillium sp. RNAcentral describes it as "partial large subunit ribosomal RNA". It matches the Rfam family "Eukaryotic large subunit ribosomal RNA", at positions 49 to 983 of the family's 3401-position model. The record is from RNAcentral. Lineage: Eukaryota; Fungi; Ascomycota; Sordariomycetes; Hypocreales; Cordycipitaceae.